This 484-nucleotide ribosomal RNA is filed under the name uncultured bacterium. Its description in RNAcentral is "partial 16S ribosomal RNA". It matches the Rfam family "Bacterial small subunit ribosomal RNA", at positions 28 to 507 of the family's 1533-position model. The record is from RNAcentral.
AUUGAACGCUGGCGGCAUGCCUUACACAUGCAAGUCGAGCGGCAGCGCGGGCUUCGGCCUGGCAGUGAGUGGCGAACGGGUGAGUAAUGCAUGGGAACGUGCCCAGUAGUGGGGGAUAGCCCGGCGAAAGGCGGAUUAAUACCGCAUACGACCUGAGGGUGAAAGCGGGGGAUCGAAAGACCUCGCGCUAUUGGAACCGCCGAUGUCGGAUUAGCUAGUUGGUGGGGUAAAGGCUUACCAAGGCGACGAUCCGUAGCUGGUCUGAGAGGACGACCAGCCACACUGGCACUGAGACACGGCCCAGCCUCCUACGGGAGGCAGCAGUGGGGAAUUUUGGACAAUGGGGGCAACCCUGAUCCAGCCAUGCCGCGUGCGGGAAGAAGGUCUUCGGUUUGUAAACCGCUUUUGUUCGGGAGGAAGUCCUCUGGACUAAUACCCCGGGGGGAUGACGGUACCGGAAGAAUAAGCACCGGCUAACUACGUG